Molecule: ribosomal RNA, 993 nt
Filed under: Triticum aestivum (bread wheat)
Lineage: Eukaryota; Viridiplantae; Streptophyta; Magnoliopsida; Poales; Poaceae
Description: partial small subunit ribosomal RNA
Source: RNAcentral
AUGGAAAGCAAGCAAAUAACAUUCACAGAGGAGCAAUUUCUCUCAAUGUCACAAGAAGAACUGAUCCUAAAUAUGGAAAGCAAGCAAAUAACAUUCACAGAGGAGCAAUUUCUCUCAAUGUCACAAGAAGAACUGAUCCUGAAUGAUACAUUUUCAUUCACUGCGCUUCUACGAUCUGACAUUAUAUACAAGGUUCAUUCAGGGAAUUCACCUGUGAACACAUAUCAACAAAGAGAGGAAGUGUCCGGGAAAGACACAUACGACAACACCGGCGCAGAACUUGAUUCAAAUACAUUGCAACAAAUGCAUCAAGACAUAGCAACUAAAGAACAAGCAACAGAACCAAACCCCUGGGACACAAACCUAUUUGACAACAUUCAAUUGGAGCAGAUCAUUGAAGAUGAUGAACCCACUACAGCAGCAGCAACAUCUCAAUCAACUACUACAGCAAGUGCAUCAAACACAGAAUCAACAGACACUAGAGCGCUCACUGACACAAGAGAAAACACUGAAGAACAAAGAGGAGGUCCUGAGAACUCACGUGAAGAACACAAAGACAAUGCCUUUCUCGAUAAAGAAGACACUGAGAAGUUCCUGCAAAAUGAAGAAGAUGUUGCAUCAGAGGGCAAUCUGAUGAACAUUAGUAGCAAUUUGAAGCCGCAUAUGGGCAUGCAGUUCAAAACAAAAGAAGAAGGGCAAGAAUAUUUCAAUUUUUACUCAAAAGUUGCUGGGUUUUCAGUGGCUAUAGUAGCAGCAUCAAGAACCAUAAGCAAAAAAAGGAAUAAUGAGGUUACAAGAAUUACUAUGAAGUGCAACAAAUAUGGAAAGACAAAGGAAAAUGAUAGAGUAUGUGUAGUGCCUACAAGAAAAUCUACAGUCAUUGCAAAAACAGACUACAAAGUGGUGAUGGUCAUAACCGACAAAAGAGGUGCAUGGGAAAUUACUAGACUAGAACUAGAACACAACCACGAGUUGACCCCAAACAACAGAUAA